UGGAUAGGGGUGAAAGGCUAAACAAACCUGGAAAUAGCUGGUUCUCUCCGAAAACUAUUUAGGUAGUGCCUCGUGUCUCACCUUCGGGGGUAGAGCACUGUCAUGGUUGGGGGGUCUAUUGCAGAUUACCCCGCCAUAGCAAACUCCGAAUACCGAAGAGUGCAAUCACGGGAGACAGACAUCGGGUGCUAACGUCCGGUGUCAAGAGGGAAACAACCCAGACCGCCAGCUAAGGUCCCCAAAUAUAGCUAAGUGGGAAACGAAGUGGGAAGGCUAAAACAGUCAGGAGGUUGGCUUAGAAGCAGCCACCCUUUAAAGAAAGCGUAAUAGCUCACUGAUCGAGUCGUCCUGCGCGGAAGAUGUAACGGGGCUAAGCUAUAUACCGAAGCUGCGGAUGCGUGCUUUGCACGCAUGGUAGGAGAGCGUUCCGUAAGCCUGCGAAGGUGCGUUGAAAAGCGUGCUGGAGGUAUCGGAAGUGCGAAUGCUGACAUGAGUAGCGAUAAAGGGGGUGAAAGGCCCCCUCGCCGUAAGCCCAAGGUUUCCUACGCAACGUUCAUCGGCGUAGGGUGAGUCGGCCCCUAAGG
This 584-nucleotide ribosomal RNA is filed under the name Burkholderia ubonensis. RNAcentral's name for it is "bacterial LSU rRNA". It matches the Rfam family "Bacterial large subunit ribosomal RNA", at positions 812 to 1396 of the family's 2925-position model. The record is from RNAcentral. Lineage: Bacteria; Pseudomonadati; Pseudomonadota; Betaproteobacteria; Burkholderiales; Burkholderiaceae.